UUACUUGUAUACUUUAACUUUGAUUUUAUUUUUAUGUUUUUUAAAUAUUGGUGUUUUUGAAUGUGUUGUUUAAAUAACAUAAAAAAUAAAAUAUAUAUUGACAUGUAUUAAACAAAGAUAUAUAUUAUUUUAUGUUGUAUAAAUAAAUUGGCAAAAUAGAGAUGGAAGAUAAAAAUAUGGUCAAAGUAAUAAGAGUCUAUGGUGAAUGCCUAGGAA
This 216-nucleotide unclassified non-coding RNA is filed under the name Borreliella burgdorferi (Lyme disease spirochete). RNAcentral's name for it is "partial 5S-23S ribosomal RNA intergenic spacer". Lineage: Bacteria; Pseudomonadati; Spirochaetota; Spirochaetia; Spirochaetales; Borreliaceae. The record is from RNAcentral.